Molecule: ribosomal RNA, 253 nt
Filed under: uncultured bacterium
Lineage: Bacteria
Description: partial 16S ribosomal RNA
Rfam family: Bacterial small subunit ribosomal RNA
Source: RNAcentral
UACAGAGGUGGCAAGCGUUGUUCGGAAUUACUGGGCGUAAAGCGAGUGUAGGUGGUUGUCCAAGUUGGAUGUGAAAGCCUUGAGCUCAACUCAAGAAAUGCAUUCAGGACUGGGCGGCUAGAGGACCGGAGAGGAUAGUGGAAUUCCCAGUGUAGUGGUGAAAUACGUAGAGAUUGGGAAGAACACCAGUGGCGAAGGCGGCUAUCUGGACGGUUUCUGACACUAAGACUCGAAAGCGUGGGGAGCAAACAGG